RNAcentral lists this ribosomal RNA (492 nucleotides) under uncultured bacterium. Its description in RNAcentral is "partial 16S ribosomal RNA". It matches the Rfam family "Bacterial small subunit ribosomal RNA", at positions 29 to 507 of the family's 1533-position model. The record is from RNAcentral.
AGUGAACGCUGGCGGUAGGCCUAACACAUGCAAGUCGAACGGCAGCACAGUAAGAGCUUGCUCUUACGGGUGGCGAGUGGCGGACGGGUGAGGCAUACAUCGGAAUCUACUUUUUCGUGGGGGAUAACGUAGGGAAACUUACGCUAAUACCGCAUACGACCUACGGGUUAAAGCAGGGGAGCUUCGGACCUUGCGCGAUUCAAUGAGCCGAUGUCGGAUUAGCUAGUUGGCGGGGUAAAGGCCCACCAAGGCGACGAUCCGUAGCUGGUCUGAGAGGAUGAUCAGCCACACUGGAACUGAGACACGGUCCAGACUCCUACGGGAGGCAGCAGUGGGGAAUAUUGGACAAUGGGCGCAAGCCUGAUCCAGCCAUACCGCGUGGGUGAAGAAGGCCCUCGGGUUGUAAAGCCCUUUUGUUGGGAAAGAAAAGCAGCAGGUUAAUACCCCGCUGUUCUGACGGUACCCAAAGAAUAAGCACCGGCUAACUUCGUG